GCCGGGCGUGGUGGCUCAUGCCUGUAAUCCCAGCACUUUGGGAGGCCGAGGCGGGUGGAUCACCUGAGGUCAGGAGUUUGAGACCGGCCUGGCCAACAUGGUGAGACUCCGUCUCUA
Non-coding RNA from Homo sapiens (human), 117 nucleotides. It matches the Rfam family "Metazoan signal recognition particle RNA". From Rfam's summary of the family: The signal recognition particle (SRP) is a universally conserved ribonucleoprotein. It is involved in the co-translational targeting of proteins to membranes. The record is from Rfam. Lineage: Eukaryota; Metazoa; Chordata; Mammalia; Primates; Hominidae.